Molecule: ribosomal RNA, 551 nt
Filed under: Ensifer fredii
Lineage: Bacteria; Pseudomonadati; Pseudomonadota; Alphaproteobacteria; Hyphomicrobiales; Rhizobiaceae
Description: Sinorhizobium fredii bacterial SSU rRNA
Rfam family: Bacterial small subunit ribosomal RNA
Source: RNAcentral
AGGGGAGCGGCAGACGGGUGAGUAACGCGUGGGAAUCUACCCUUUUCUACGGAAUAACGCAGGGAAACUUGUGCUAAUACCGUAUGAGCCCUUCGGGGGAAAGAUUUAUCGGGAAAGGAUGAGCCCGCGUUGGAUUAGCUAGUUGGUGGGGUAAAGGCCUACCAAGGCGACGAUCCAUAGCUGGUCUGAGAGGAUGAUCAGCCACAUUGGGACUGAGACACGGCCCAAACUCCUACGGGAGGCAGCAGUGGGGAAUAUUGGACAAUGGGCGCAAGCCUGAUCCAGCCAUGCCGCGUGAGUGAUGAAGGCCCUAGGGUUGUAAAGCUCUUUCACCGGUGAAGAUAAUGACGGUAACCGGAGAAGAAGCCCCGGCUAACUUCGUGCCAGCAGCCGCGGUAAUACGAAGGGGGCUAGCGUUGUUCGGAAUUACUGGGCGUAAAGCGCACGUAGGCGGACAUUUAAGUCAGGGGUGAAAUCCCGGGGCUCAACCCCGGAACUGCCUUUGAUACUGGGUGUCUAGAGUCCGGAAGAGGUGAGUGGAAUUCCGAGUG